Molecule: microRNA precursor, 76 nt
Filed under: Marmota monax (woodchuck)
Lineage: Eukaryota; Metazoa; Chordata; Mammalia; Rodentia; Sciuridae
Source: RNAcentral
UGUGUGUGUGUGUGUUUGUGUGUGUGUGUAUAUACAUAUAUAUAUACACACACACACACAAACACAUACACACAUA